GGGUAUAGCUUAGUUGGUAGAGUGCUUGCCUCAAAUGCACAAGAUCCUGGGUUCAGAUUCCCAGCACCACA
This 71-nucleotide transfer RNA is filed under the name Marmota monax (woodchuck). RNAcentral describes it as "tRNA.Leu". It matches the Rfam family "tRNA". From Rfam's summary of the family: Transfer RNA (tRNA) molecules are approximately 80 nucleotides in length. Their secondary structure includes four short double-helical elements and three loops (D, anti-codon, and T loops). The record is from RNAcentral. Lineage: Eukaryota; Metazoa; Chordata; Mammalia; Rodentia; Sciuridae.